Molecule: long non-coding RNA, 579 nt
Organism: Arvicola amphibius (Eurasian water vole)
Lineage: Eukaryota; Metazoa; Chordata; Mammalia; Rodentia; Cricetidae
Exons: 3
Source: RefSeq, a predicted model, not a curated record
AUGCACGCUUCCGCCCCGGCUGCCAGGAGGAUGAGGGGAUCAAGAACGCCAUCUGCACCCUCCUGGACACGUGGACGAGCAUCUUUCCCGGGGACUUCUCCACAAGAUCAGGCUUGUGCGCCCUCAGUAAGAUGAAGGCGUACCUGAUCGUUCAUUGUCCGUACUCGGACGUCCUCAUACGUGUGCACGAGCUCCUUACGAGCCUGCUCUCAGAAACAUCGGAGGAGAGCGAUUAACAACAAGCCAGGGUGACACAUCUGGAGACCAUAAGAAAACUCUGCUGCUGCUCUGUGGAGGAGAGGACGACUGAGGGAGCCAGGAGCACAUGGUGCCGCAGCCUCCAUCAGCAUCCCUCAGCGUGUUGCCUUCCUGUGCCUGACCACCUGCCUUACUCGUGCUAGUAUGCUAAUCACCAGAUGUGUCACAGAUGACAAUAGAUGACAAUCCUCCUGAUCUCCCUGUUGACAUUAGUGCUGGCCUUAACUCCUGCGUGUGUCUAAGUCUGAGUUAUUAAUAUUGUCUGUAGCGGGGUCAGAUUGCUUUUUAUAAUCUUUUUAAAGCUUCUUUUAUAUUAAGUUA